CAGACACACACACACACACACUUCCUUCUCAAUUAGUCAUGAGUGCUGCUGGGGCGGAAGCUUGGAGGAACAGGAGCGAGCCAGAUCAAUUAUGUCAAAUGGCUUCUCUAAUGGACUUAAACUGAUUAGAGGGCCUGAGUUCAAACUCCGGUGUGGGCAAGAUCAGGAGGAAGCAAUACUGACGGGUGACCAACAACACCUGUGACAGGGUCAGGCUAAUCAAUUCAAGAGCCCUUCAGGAAAAAAAACGUCCCUUCCCCGGCCCUGCUAAAGAACAUGCCAACCUUAACACUUUUCCUCUGGGUGUGUUACAGUGAAAUCGUGACAUUAAUAGAAAGUGGAGGAGACCGUGCCUGAUUUGAACUGAUCACUCUUACGUCAAAGCAAACAGUCACUUUGGUUAGUUGUCACAUAGACAAUUAACCAAAUGCUUCUGUCUAGCCGUGUUCCUUCAGCUUCUUGGAAACUCCAGGACGAAGGAGUGUGGUAACGCUGGCCAGCCCCAAGUUGGAAUCCAGGCAACAGCUGCAGUGGUCAGAAGAAGGGAAAGGAGAUCAAGGGACUAAAAGAGAGGCCAUUUUCAAAACGGUAAAACCAGAAUAAACCCCUGCUUCGAAGUCUGGCGGUCCUCUGGAUGGAUGUUGCAGCAUUGUUCUCUCUUGCUCUCUUUUUCCAAAAAAGCAAACCCUUUUAAGAUGGCUCAGUUGCGUUAAACAUGGUGUUUGCAUCACCACUAUGCCCCCCACACAAACAUAUUUACAAAAGUAUGACUUCUACUUUAUACAUCACUCAUACUAUACUCACUAUACUCAUGUUUCAGUUCACAUGUAUAUGCAUUUUAUUUAUUAAACAAGUCAGUUCAAGCCAGUAAUUCCCCCUUGCCUUUGUGCCCCUCUAAAUCUACAACAGGGGGCUUAAUAUCGAUUCAUGAACAUGUCAUACACUGCACAUAUUCAAAUGUUUUUACUUUAAAAUUCAAACAAAUCCUUAAAUAUUGUCAACAAGCAUUGUGAUCCACCUUUUGAUUGUCUAGAAGUAACUUCAACUGUAACAUAUGCAUAUUCUGAAAAUUGUGUGUAAGUGUGCAUAGUAGCAAGUAGGCAAGCUUUCA
This is a long non-coding RNA of Osmerus eperlanus (European smelt), 1111 nucleotides long. RefSeq lists it as uncharacterized. The transcript is spliced from 6 exons. The record is from RefSeq and is a predicted model, not a curated record. NCBI's taxonomy places the organism in Eukaryota, Metazoa, Chordata, Actinopteri, Osmeriformes, Osmeridae.